Molecule: ribosomal RNA, 377 nt
Filed under: uncultured eukaryote
Lineage: Eukaryota
Description: partial 18S ribosomal RNA
Rfam family: Eukaryotic small subunit ribosomal RNA
Source: RNAcentral
CAAUAGCGUAUAUUUAAGUUGCUGCAGUUAAAAAGCUCGUAGUUGGAUUUCGGGUGGGAAUGGCCGGUCCGCCGUUUCGGUGUGCACUUGCUACGCCCACCUUGCUGCCGGGGACGUGCUCUUGAGUUCACGCUCGGGACACGGAGUCGGCGAGGUUACUUUGAGUAAAUUAGAGUGUUCAAAGCAGGCCUACGCUCUGAAUACAUUAGCAUGGAAUAACACGAUAGGACUCUGGCCUAUCUUGUUGGUCUGUAGGACCGGAGUAAUGAUUAAGAGGGACAGUCGGGGGCAUUCGUAUUUCAUUGUCAGGGGUGAAAUUCUUGGAUUUAUGGAAGACGAACUACUGCGAAAGCAUUUGCCAAGGAUGUUUUCAUUAA